Molecule: ribosomal RNA, 484 nt
Filed under: uncultured bacterium
Lineage: Bacteria
Description: partial 16S ribosomal RNA
Rfam family: Bacterial small subunit ribosomal RNA
Source: RNAcentral
AUUGAACGCUGGCGGCAGGCCUAACACAUGCAAGUCGAGCGGAUGAAGGGAGCUUGCUCCUGGAUUCAGCGGCGGACGGGUGAGUAAUGCCUAGGAAUCUGCCUGGUAGUGGGGGAUAACGUCCGGAAACGGGCGCUAAUACCGCAUACGUCCUGUGGGAGCAAUUGGGGGCUCUUCGGACCUCACGCUAUCAGAUGAGCCUAGGUCGGAUUAGCUAGUUGGUGGGGUAAAGGCCUACCAAGGCGACGAUCCGUAACUGGUCUGAGAGGAUGAUCAGUCACACUGGAACUGAGACACGGUCCAGACUCCUACGGGAGGCAGCAGUGGGGAAUAUUGGACAAUGGGCGAAAGCCUAAUCCAGCCAUGCCGCGUGUGUGAAGAAGGUCUUCGGAUUUUAAAGCACUUUAAGUUGGGAGGAAGGGCAGUAAGUUAAUACCUUGCUGUUUUGACGUUACCAACAGAAUAAGCACCGGCUAACUUCGUG